AUUGAACGCUGGCGGCAGGCCUAACACAUGCAAGUCGAGCGGAGCGGCGGACGGGUGAGGAAUGCCUAGGAAUCUGCCUGUUAGUGGGGGAUCCCGUCCGGAAACGGGCGCUAAUACCGCAUACUAUCAGAUGAGCCUAGGUCGGAUUGGCUAAUUGGUGGGGUAAAGGCCUACCAAGGCGACGAUCCGUAACUGGUCUGAGAGGAUGAUCAGUCAAACGGGGACUGAGACACGGUCCAGACUCCUACGGGAGGCAGCGUUGGGGAAUAUUGGACAAUGGGCGAAAGCCUGAUCCAGCCAUGCCGCGUGUGUGAAGAAGGUCUUCGGAUUGGAAAGCACUUUAAGUUGGGAGGCGUUACCAGCAGAAUAAGCACCGGCUAACUUCGUGCCAGCCGCCGCGGUAAUAC
Molecule: ribosomal RNA, 407 nt
Filed under: uncultured bacterium
Lineage: Bacteria
Description: partial 16S ribosomal RNA
Rfam family: Bacterial small subunit ribosomal RNA
Source: RNAcentral